GACAAGAAGCAAUGGGCUUAAAUUGCAGAAAGGGCGAUUUAGGAUGGCAUUAGGAAAACCUUCCUAACUGUCAGGGUGGUGAAGCAUUUGAAUAAAGUGCCUAGGGAAGUUAUGGAAUCUCCAUCAUUGGAGAUUUUAAAAAGCAGGUUAGACAAACACUUGUCAGGGAUGGU
Long non-coding RNA from Dermochelys coriacea (leatherback sea turtle), 173 nucleotides. RefSeq lists it as uncharacterized. Lineage: Eukaryota; Metazoa; Chordata; Testudines; Dermochelyidae. The transcript has 3 exons. The record is from RefSeq and is a predicted model, not a curated record.